UAAACAACUGUGCGAUAUGGAAAAUAGUACAUCUAUAUUAGUGUUUUUUGUUAAUGGUAAAAAGGUACGUACAAAAAAUUAUAAUUAUAAAUACUUUUAUACAGUGGACUACUCAAAAUUCUUUAUUACGGGGAGGGACAGGGCUAAAUAACUAAAUAACUUGAUAGACAAAAAAUGUUUUAAAAAUACAUAAUUAUGUAAUACAAUACA
Non-coding RNA from Cinara cedri, 210 nucleotides. Lineage: Eukaryota; Metazoa; Arthropoda; Insecta; Hemiptera; Aphididae. The record is from the annotation of a GenBank genome assembly.